This is a long non-coding RNA of Zea mays, 4284 nucleotides long. RefSeq lists it as uncharacterized. The transcript is spliced from 9 exons. The record is from RefSeq and is a predicted model, not a curated record. Lineage: Eukaryota; Viridiplantae; Streptophyta; Magnoliopsida; Poales; Poaceae.
AAUAAAUAGAUAGAUAAUUAGAUAUAUAUUAUAAUAUUAUCUUUAAAAUGUCCUCUAACAUGUUUAAAUACCAUCGAGCUAUAUAUACAUUCUAGUUGUCAACUGUUCAACAUUUGGUCCCUAAACUAUUAGACUAUACAUUAAAGUCUGGUUGAUAUAAGUAUAUAUUUAGGGUCAAGCCCUAUGAACUCAGGGCCUGGGCAGUCGCCUCUCUGCCCCACCCUCAGGGCCGCCACUACAGCGAAGCGAUGAAGCCAGGCCUCCCGCCCGUGUCCUCGCGUGUCGUUGUGGGUGUAUCCGCCUAUUCGAGUUGUUUGUUUGCCAUGUGAUCGUGUCGCGCCGGCGGCGCCGCUAGACCUAAGUAUGGCCACAUGACUCGACUAACCUAACCCUACUCAUCUAGGGGAAAAAACCCGACCAAUACGACGGACUAACACGGGUUGGGUAUAGGCCAUGAUUUUUUACCUCAAAUGUAGCACCUAAAAUCUUAUUUGGGAUUUAUAAAAGUUUAUACAAAGGAUUAAAAACAUAAUAAUUAAAAGCCCUUCAAUCUAAUUGCCAAAGUGAAGCAAUUUCUCUCAUGAACUAUGAAAUUAGAAAUGCUUUAAAAACAAUUAAAGUAAAGUAACUCUUGUUUAUAUAUUAGCCUCUACUAAAGAAAAUGAGUAAUAAAUAUUGAAUAUUUAAAUGGGUUUCUAAUUAGAGUAGUGAUGUUUGAAAUCUCUACUACACCUUAAGAACGCAGUGAGGGCGUCCACAGAGCAUACCGUGCCCCCGCCCUCCGCCAAUCUCGCAGCUGUCACCAGCGCCCGCCCCAUCCAUGGCGCCCAACGUAUUCAACACCGGAUCCCCCGCCAAUCUCGCAGCCGUCACCAGCCCCGUCCCCGCAGCCGUCACCAACGCCCGCCCCAUCCAUGCCGCCCAACGAAUUCAACCCCAGAUCCCUCGGUAUGGUGCCGGAGACCGCGCCCUUCCCACCUUCCCCACCGGAUCCGGCAUGGCAGAUCCAUGGCGCCCACCGGAUCCCUCUCCCUUGCCCUCUUCAAUACCGGAUUGACCGCGCCAUUCACCACCGCUCUCACCUACUAUCGAUGGCCCGUCCGCCAUUAUCGAUGGCCCGCCCGCCUCGCUGGCUCCCCUCUCCCUCCUCUCUCGCUCCACCCCUCCCAACUGCCCCUAGCCUAACUCGGGCCACAGAGCGGCCGCCCCCUUCACCGGAGAGGUGGCAUCCCACGUCGGACGCAGAGGUGCACCUGCGUCGGCGCCACGACACUUGACCCAGGUGAGGUCGCUGUCGAUGCCACCAUGUCUUCUUCAUCUAUCUACUAGCCUCAUCUCGCCGGCGACGAGAUCCACCGCACCGCCUUCCUUCCCGUAUUCCCUCGCCGUCCCAUUCUAUAAGGAUCUCCGCCGUCAUCCCGGGAUAGUUCUCCGAGAUCAGCCCCAUGUGGCCCGGUGCGCCCCGCUGCUCUGCUUGUGGGCGUCCACAUUUGCUUCACCGUGCCCCGCCAGCCGUAGCUCCAUGCGCAAGGAGAGGAACAUGGGGACCUGAUCCUGGACGAUCGCAGGGACAGCAUGGAGCUGUCGAUUGUUGGAUCGGAUAGCAGGGUCUUGGGCGCCACCGUGGCGCACGAGCUUAGAGCGUGUGCAUCCAACAGCAGGUGAGCGGCGGCGUGCACGGUAAGCCGCAGGGCAGCACGGGCCAUGAGCACGAAAUCUGCCUCCACGGUUUCGUGCCUGACUAGGUGGGGAUUGGCUGCAUAGAAGAAACACACAUCAGAUCAAUAUAUGCUUAACGAGUGCUUGAUUAAAUGCUGGAACAAAACAUCGUGUCCUAGGUGACAAUGGUCUCUAAGUAAGGCGAGAAUGGCCACCCAUGGGAAUCACUGGAUCUGUUUGCGCUCGUCAUCUGGUCCAGCACUAGGUCUUGAGCAUGAGUAGGGUAGGAGCUCCAGGAGCAGUUCUUCCCCUUCUCACAGAAUCGCCCUCCCUGAGGGACUUGAGCAACAACUACUUGCACGAUUCAAUUCUUUACCAGCUGCCAUCAAACCUUACCUAUCUGAACCUGGCGAAAAACAACUUCUCUGGUAAUCUUCCGUACUCCAUAUCCAAUUUGGUCUCGCUUGAGUACCUGUAAGUUACUAUUCCAUUGGUAAAGAUGAGAUUUGUUCAGUGAUGAUAUUUUUGGUUAGCACAAUCUAACUGCAGUGAACCACUGCCUGCAACAACCUUAGCCACAACUCGUUGUUACAGGAAAUUGGAGAACUGUUUGGAAGCCUCAGUUCACUCGCAGAACUGUAAGGCAUACUGAACCGCUGUUUUCGUACGCAAGCUCGACUUGAGUAUUGUGUGGUUGAAAUUUUUGAUCCUGUACAAACUAUUUCAGUAUUGAAUGUUUUCUUCAUUAAAAAAUAAGUGUAAUUUUGAGCACAGAUAUAAUAUUCAAAAUAUAACAUUGCCACCAAAUAAAAAUGCAACAUACUUUAUCUGGCCACAAAGUUAAGCCCUUCUACGUCUGUCCUAAGUCAAAAAAAAAGUUAACUCUAACUAACAAUAUAUUAUCUGAGAUUAAAAUUUAUUAUAUUAUAAAAUUAGUUUGUUUGCAGAUACAACUUUUUUUAGGAAAAUGUUUUUUUUAAAAAUGCAUUCACAAUCACUUGAUCUGUCCAAGUGAGGAUGAUGAUAUUGUCAGUAUGAUGAUUAACUGCUCUUAACCCUAUGAAUUUCAUCGUAUUAUAACUACAAUCCUUGGAGAGACAUAUCUUUCAACAACCUCACGGGAAUCUUCCUUUCUCAAUGGGCUCUCUAUCAAAACUUUCUAGCCUGUAAGUAUUAUUCAGAUGCUCCCCAUAUAUUUGUAUUUCUUUCUCGUGGCUCUGAUAGUUUCCUUCUUGUGCCUGUUAGCCUUGCAACACUGUAAGUAGCUUCCCACACACACACACCUUGGUUCGCGCUCGCACCGAAAACAAUUUUGAGCUAAUAUUAUUGGUGACUCUGCAUUCCACUCAACUUCCGCACGGUGCUUCUAAUUAAAUGAAGUUAACCAAUUGCAGAAUGGAACUGAUUCUGCAUUCCAGGCUGUUGACAAUAAACCAUCCCAAACAUGCUACCUAAUGGCUCUAGAUCAUGCUACAAACAAUUAUGGAACAAGUUGUCGCAUCUUUUUCCCUUUCUUUAUAAUAACAAUUAGAUUGAAUUUGCUUAAAAUUUCCCCUGUCCCAUUGUAAUUUCUGAAACUUAGAUUGAAUUUGCAUCUUUUCCCUUUCUUUGUUCAUUUAAUCAUUGUGUACUAACAUUUUGUCAAAUAGUUCAUGUUCAUUUAAACUUUUCUUCUAUUAGACUGAUAGUAUUUCACAUACUAUACUAAAUGAGUGUGAGUCCACUGUUCUGUUCUUUAACCUCUCUCUAGGAAGAAUCCAUGGUCUGUAUUGUUUUACUGAAAAGGGGAUGUGCUAACUUGUUGAGAUUACACAUGGCAUUUACAUUUGUAUAUGUUUUGUCCAUUUCCAUUUCUUAAAUAAAAUAUCCUUUGCAGAUUUUUAUCACAGUUUACUUCUUCAAAGCAACCUUGGAUGAAAAUUUCAGUUUAGCUGAUAUUGAGGUAGCUCUGAUCCCAAUCUUGGCAGGGUCAUGUGAAUACGUUAGUGCCUUAGUGGAGAUUAUUUGAUACGACCUUCAAAGUUCAAACAUUUCUUACAAUAAUAAUUGAUAUCUGUUACUCAGAACCACAUUCGAACCUUGUAUAUGACUUAAAGGUUUUUAAUAAAACUAGACUCCACUCCACUAGGCUUUCUGUGCGCUCCUGGACAAGCAAUUGCAGUUUGGAAGGAUAAGCAAUUGUGGUCUCAUGUGUUGUACUGUUUCUUAGAAUUUUCCAGCAACUUCGAUUGGGAGGAAUUUUGUUUGAGCUUGUGGGCCCAAUUCAUAUCAGUUCCCUUACAGAUAUGACAGGUGUACACAUCUGACUUAACAUCACUAUUUCUUAUGGACCUGUCUAAGGUGCAAAGGCCACACAAAGGGAUUUGGGGGUGAUACAUAGAGAUCAUAGUACAUGUGGAGAAGGCAUUUGCUGGACCCUCGAUCCAUUUCUCCUUGUUUUGACAAUGCUGUUAUGACAAAAUUUACACUGCAUUACCAGGAGCUGGGCCAACAUUUACCAUCCUAAUCAAUUGUAGAUUCUUAGCAAUUCUUGACAUCAUUGUAAUAAUUGUAUUAUGCUGUAAAUUUUUUAAUGAAAUAACAUCACUGAAAUGACAUUUGCGUUGAUAAUUGCAUGUGGGUAAA